Molecule: long non-coding RNA, 3008 nt
Organism: Anas platyrhynchos (mallard)
Lineage: Eukaryota; Metazoa; Chordata; Aves; Anseriformes; Anatidae
Source: RefSeq, a predicted model, not a curated record
CUUUGGUGUAGUAAUAUCUGAAAACAAAAUCAAAAGUUUGGGAACUUUUAUAUUUGUCUGGAAACAGAUGAAUUAGAAAUCAGGUAAUACAUUUUAAAUAUUAGCUGCUUUAAAACUGUUUUUUACAUUUUUAAUAAUACAGCUCAGUUUAUUUUGUGCUAUUGAAUGAUACUGCCUGAGGAAUGCAUAUCUGGCAUUUUUGGUUUAACGAAUCCCAAUAGACUAUUGCUAGUCUAAAAAAACCCUAAGUUUUUUUACUUAAUGCACAAAUAACUAUUAGCUAGUGGUCAUUGUCACACCCUGCAGGAGUUUUUAAAACCUCUAAACAUGUUCACACCUCAGGGGAACUUUUGUGAGUGUCUGGUGGAGCUUGACCUUUAAACUGACCAUCCAGAACUUGUUACUUGAUGUUGUUAUGUUGCAGCCAUUCAUUUAUUUUUGUAUAUUUUAUUUUAGUUAUUCAGGAAGGAAACAUAUUACAAUACUGUUUAAUACUAAUACAAAUUUCAGGUGUGUAACAUGGAGUUCCCAGCAUGUGCCCAUGGAUGGACAAACAAGCUGACCGGAGGAGAAGGUCCACUCUGAAACUUAAACAGUAAGGUUAAACAGUAAGGUUUACGCAGCUGUGCCUAAAGGUGAGUCAGGUGGGAGCUGUUAGCAGUAAAGGAGAAUAAGUGGGCUUGACUGAUAAAUUGCUUCCUGAUAAUUGUAAUUGGGUAAUCUUCCAGAUUAUGGGGAUCCCCAGAAAGCCUGUUUUACCAACAACUCUUUUAAAGGAACCCUAUAAGGCAUACAUGUUUAUGUAUAUUAUGUAUAUAUAUUUAUGUAUGCCUUAUGUAUGCCUGGACAUCCAUGUAUUUUACUUUCUGUCAAAUAAGACAAUGUUUAUGAAUAUCAUGAUCUCUAUAUAUGUCUCAUUGGGAAUUUAUGUCUUAAUCCUUGCUCUUCUGCAGAUCUCAACCAUAGAGAUUCCAAAUGGAAUCAGUCAAGGCACCAUUUAAGCUCCACAAUGAAAAUCUGGCACAAGGAAAAUCCCUUGGAGAGCUGUUCACUAUUUGCUGUUCAUGACUCUAACAGCCAUACUACAGAAUAAAAUAAGAGUGGAAGAAGAAAACAAGAUAUCAAUAUGGGACUAUAGCCACCUAUGGGGAAUUUAUUCUACAAAAUCCAUGAAAUGAUGCUUCAGGUCAAUUGCAGCCUGCAUUUGAAAUACAAUCAUUUGAACACAUGAGAUUUCUACAAGAUCUGGAUUCAGAAGUUAAAAACCUCUUUGAAGUCAGUUACAAAAUUCUCAUUAGCUGAUGUUAAAAUAUUCUCAUUAGUAAGAUCAGAAUUAAGGUCAGCAUUGUGCUUAUUAAUAAACACAUUUGUAAUAUCCUUCUCUUCCAUGGGAGAAUAGUUUUCCAUUCAUAUGAGCUUGUUUGUCUGUUUUGUGUGUUUAGACUCCAACUUCUUGAGGACAGAAAUUAGUUUAAGAAUUAUUUAAGAAUAGUUUAAGAGACAGCAGAGUCUCCUAACAAAAGGGACCAUGAUUUCAGUUUGAGCAUCUGGUGUUACCAGAAUGCAAUGUUUUAAUAAUAAUAAUUGCAUGCUAAACAGCUAAGAGGAAAACUACAUGCAGAAAGGCAAUUAACUGCAAUGUGAUAAUAUAGGCUACCACCUACAUUGGCUUUUCAUGGUAAUAGAUGUUGAAAGAGACUGAGCACCUUUGUUAAGUGUUUCAGUGAAGGAACAGUAGCAAAUGUUACAUUGAAUUUAAGAGCUAUUGUUUAAACUUAAGCAAUAUUGACUAAAAUUCUGAAUUCAGCCUAGAAAGUCAUUUAAUUAUAGCUGAGUCUUUAUUCAAAACCUGAGAUGACAUAGCUGACAAUUACAGAUACACAGAUGAUGUAAAGUACCUCUGUGCUUUUUACUUUAUAUGAGGGAAUAGUUACAAAUUUCUGAUGUGGUUGAUGAUACACAGCUGUUAGUGACACACAGAGUGUAUUCACUUUGGGAGAAAAACAAAAAAAAAAAAAGAAAAAAAGAUUCAAUCUAAUUUAUAUGUAUUUGACAGUCUCAAGGCUUUCACAGGUGAUGGUGCUGUUCUGAAUAGAAAUUGGUAAAUAGAACAAAUUGCAUGGCUGCAUACUUUUUUGCAAGGUAGGCCUGAAGUACUAAAGCGAAGAGAGUUUGUUAAUUGCUUUUUUUGUUAAAUUGUUUAAAUUGUUUUUUUUUUAUUUUUUAUUUUUUGCUGUUAAAAUGCAGAUUAAAAUGUCUUGGGUUACAUUAUAGAAAUUAUAAUACUACUGAGAAUAUGUGAAUAUGUUUUACAAAGAGGUAAAGACUAAAUCAGGGGAAAAUGUGUUUUAUUUGGACUGUAUGAAAGAUGGAAGGGCAAAAGAAUUCUGGUCCUCCAAGAAUUUGUUUCAUCUAGGCCUCUGUAACUUUUAAAUUCAAGAGUGUUUUGAUGCUGUUAUUUUCAUAAAAUACAGCAUAAAUCUGAAGCCUUGUAACAGGAAAUAUAUCUAAAAUGUAAAGUCUUAUAAUAGGUUAGAAAAGGAAAAUAGACAAGAAAAUGAUACAUGAUGGACCUGUUGCCAGAAUAUAUAUAUGUAUAAUAGUUCCCUGCAAUGUUCUGUUAUUACUUAUGCCACUCUUGAGACAUGCAGGCUUACUUUUCUUCUUCAUCUGUAUUUUGAACCCCCCUAGCUCCCAUUUACACGAAAGACCUCUAAUGUGAAGUUACAUAACAUUAUGGGGUAGGGGUGGGAAUUUUUCUGUCCUUCAUGAAAACCUAUUUCCUUCUGCACAGAAUAAGUCAGUCCAAGAAUUAUCAAGAACAAGAACGUACCUAUUAGGAUACUCAUGUGGGCAAGGGGGCUUGAAGUUUUUCAAUUUCCUAUUCUGGUGAAUAUUUAAGAUGUUGUUUAUCUGAAUUUCUCCAGAGAAUUCAAGGUUUUAUGUCUCUAGAGGGAGUAUAGACUUUGUACACCUCAGAGUUCUUUUUAAAAGGUGGGUUCUUAAGG